AUUAGGAUUUUGCACAAUGUUUCCGAGAAGUUGACGGGAAGCUCUUCUCUAGCAGUUUAGCACGCACAUUGAUCGAUUUAGGAGUUUAUCAGCAAUACUAUCAGGAUUCAGGAUUCACGAUUCAGGAGUUCAGGACUGUUCCUGAGAACCUGUAACUAUGUUCGGAAAAGCUUGUUCGCGAUCAAGGGUAGCUUGGCAGUUGUGUCGCGCUACUAAAGUGACGGAAGGAAUUAAUCAGUAGUAGUACUAGCUACCAGGACUGUUCCUGAGAAUGUAUUCAUUGAGUUCGGAAAAAGCUUGUUCCGGUCAAGGCUAGUUUGGCAGUUUUGUGGCAUUCGUUCAAAUAGUUCCGAGUAUCUGUUGAACAAGAAUAGAUCAUUACUAAAAUGAUGAACGACCAACUUAAGUUGGAGAAAGGAAAGAAAUGUUAGAUGCAACCAGAUAUAUAACAACAGCUCUAAUAAAAGUGCAGAUAUGAAACACCAAGUAACAACUGUCAGAAAUAAUCUGCAGCUUGGUAUGACAGAGCUCCGCCCAGUCAAUCUCCAUCAUUGGGAGUGAAAUAUAUUAAGGGGUAUUUUUGUAAAUAAAUUGUCAAAAUAUACAAUCUAUAUAUCUAAAUAUACAAUCUUUUUUUAUAUUAAAAUUAUUUUCUUUUAUUUUUAUUUUUUAAAGUAUCAAAUAUAUUGUACAUCGCAAUUUUUAGAUUGUUUUUUUCAUUAUAAUUACGAGAAUGCCACUUAUAUGCCAAUCAAGGGGAUUGUUUUGAAAUUUCUCGGUCUGA
Long non-coding RNA from Spinacia oleracea (spinach), 784 nucleotides. RefSeq lists it as uncharacterized. The transcript is spliced from 4 exons. The record is from RefSeq and is a predicted model, not a curated record. Lineage: Eukaryota; Viridiplantae; Streptophyta; Magnoliopsida; Caryophyllales; Amaranthaceae.